AACGAACGCUGGUGGCAUGCCUAACACAUGCAAGUCGAACGAAACCUUCGGGUCUAGUGUCGCACGGGUGCGUAACGGGUGGGAACCUGCCCUUAGGUUCGGAAUAACUCCCCGAAAGGGGUGCUAAUACCGGAUAAUGUCUUCGGACCAAAGAUUUAUCGCCUUUGGAUGGGCCCGCGUUGGAUUAGCUAGUUGGUAGGGUAAAAGCCUACCAAGGCGACGAUCCAUAGCUGGUCUGAGAGGAUGAUCAGCCACACUGGGACUGAGACACGGCCCAGACUCCUACGGGAAGCAGCAGUGGGGAAUAUUGGAAAAUGGGCUAAAGCCUGAUCCAGCAAGGCCGCGUGAGUGAUGAAGGCCUUAGGGUUGUAAAGCUCUUUUAACCGGGAUGAUAAUGACAGUACCGGGAGAAUAAGCUCCGGCUAACUCCGUG
Molecule: ribosomal RNA, 433 nt
Filed under: uncultured bacterium
Lineage: Bacteria
Description: partial 16S ribosomal RNA
Rfam family: Bacterial small subunit ribosomal RNA
Source: RNAcentral